CCUACGGGAGGCAGCAGUGGGGAAUAUUGGACAAUGGGGGGAACCUUGAUCCAGCGACGCCGCGUGAGUGAAGAAGUAUUUCGGUAUGUAAAGCUCUAUCAGCAGGGAAGAAAAUGACGGUACCUGACUAAGAAGCCCCGGCUAACUACGUGCCAGCAGCCGCGGUAAUACGUAGGGGGCAAGCGUUAUCCGGAUUUACUGGGUGUAAAGGGAGCGUAGACGGUGCAGCAAGUCUGAUGUGAAAGGUCGGGGCCCAACCCCGGGACUGCAUUGGAAACUGUUGAACUGGAGUACAGGAGAGGUAGGCGGAAUUCCUAGUGUAGCGGUGAAAUGCGUAGAUAUUAGGAGGAACACCAGGGGCGAAGGCGGCUUACUGGAACAUGACUGACGCUGAUGCACGAAAGCGUGGGGAGAAAACAGGAUGAGAUACCCUUGUAGUC
This 440-nucleotide ribosomal RNA is filed under the name uncultured bacterium. RNAcentral describes it as "partial 16S ribosomal RNA". It matches the Rfam family "Bacterial small subunit ribosomal RNA", at positions 338 to 795 of the family's 1533-position model. The record is from RNAcentral.